GUAGUCUCGCACAGAUGCAUAUCAAUAAGCGGAGGAAAAGAAACUAACUAGGAUUCCCUCAGUAACGGCGAGUGAAGCGGGAAGAGCUCAAAUUUGAAAUCUUCAAGGUUCUACCUUGACGAAUUGUAGUUUAAAGAAGUGUUUUCUGUUGGAGUUUUGGUAAAAGUUCUUUGGAAUAGGACAUCAUAGAGGGUGAGAAUCCCGUAUUUGACCAUUAUUUCCAGCUUUGUGAUACACUUUCAAAGAGUCGGAUUGUUUGGGAAUGCAGUCCAAAAUGGGUGGUAAAUUUCAUCUAAAGCUAAAUACUGGCGAGAGACCGAUAGCGAACAAGUACCGUGAGGGAAAGAUGAAAGGAACUUUGAAAAGAGAGUUAAACAGUACGUGAAAUUGUCAAAAGGGAAGCGUUUGACACCAGUGUUGUUUUCUCGAAAAUCAAUUAACGAAGGGAUUUUGUUUUUGAAGAGUUAUGACUUUCAUCAGGCUUGCACUUCUUUUCUUUACGUACUUUUCUUAAUGCACUUUUCGUUUAACAAGUCAACAUCAAUUUCUUUUGUUGUAAAAGGGUCAUGAGGAAGGUGGCUUUCUUUUCGGAGAAAGUGUUUAUAGCCUUUGGCCUCUGCAAUCGGAGAGAUUGAGGUCUGCAGCGUAGAUCCUUCGGGGUUAGAUACAUUUGUGCUAAGUUAUAGCCUUUUCAUAGACAACUUGUUGACUAUGAUCAGUCAUGUAGCUUACUCGCUUAGUGCUAUUUUACCUACGCUUAGGAUGUUGACGCGCGUGUGUGCGUG
This 785-nucleotide ribosomal RNA is filed under the name uncultured Neocallimastigales. RNAcentral describes it as "partial large subunit ribosomal RNA". It matches the Rfam family "Eukaryotic large subunit ribosomal RNA", at positions 24 to 634 of the family's 3401-position model. The record is from RNAcentral. Lineage: Eukaryota; Fungi; Neocallimastigomycota; Neocallimastigomycetes; Neocallimastigales.